This is a small nuclear RNA of Jaculus jaculus (lesser Egyptian jerboa), 107 nucleotides long. The record is from Ensembl. NCBI's taxonomy places the organism in Eukaryota, Metazoa, Chordata, Mammalia, Rodentia, Dipodidae.
UGUUCAUGUUGGCAGCACAUAUUACUAAAAUUGAAAUGAUAUAAACAAGAUUAGCAUGGCCUCUGUGCAAGGAUGACAUACAAAUUCGUGAAACACUCCACAAAUUA